AAAGUACUCCCUCCAUCCCAAAAUUCUUGUCUUAGAUUUGUUUAGAUACGGAUGUAUCAAGUCACAUUUUAGUAUUAGAUACAUCCGUAUCUAGACAUACAUCCAUAUCUAGACAAAUCUUAGACAAGAAAUUUGGGACAGAGGGAGUAGUUU
This is a non-coding RNA of Triticum aestivum (bread wheat), 153 nucleotides long. Lineage: Eukaryota; Viridiplantae; Streptophyta; Magnoliopsida; Poales; Poaceae. The record is from Rfam.